This 460-nucleotide ribosomal RNA is filed under the name uncultured bacterium. RNAcentral describes it as "partial 16S ribosomal RNA". It matches the Rfam family "Bacterial small subunit ribosomal RNA", at positions 338 to 795 of the family's 1533-position model. The record is from RNAcentral.
CCUACGGUGGACUGCAGUGAGGAAUAUUGGUCAAUGGACGCAAGUCUGAACCAGCCAUGCCGCGUGCAGGAAGACGGCUCUAUGAGUUGUAAACUGCUUUUGUACGAGGGUAAACGCAGAUACGAGUAUCUGUCUGAAAGUAUCGUAAGAAUAAGGAUCGGCUAACUCCGUGCCAGCAGCCGCGGUAAUCCGGAGGAUUCAAGCGUUAUCCGGAUUUAUUGGGUUGAAAGGGUGCGUAGGCGGUCGGAUAAGUUAGAGGUGAAAUCCCGAGGCUCAACUUCGGAAUUGCCUCUGAUACUGUUCGGCUAGAGAGUAGUUGCGGUAGGCGGAAUGUAUGGUGUAGCGGUGAAAUGCUUAGAGAUCAUACAGAACACCGAUUGCGAAGGCAGCUUACCAAGCUACUUCUGACGUUGAGGCACGAAAGCGUGGGGAGCAAACAGGAUUAGAUACCCCGGUAGUC